AAAAAGGUAAUGAGAAAGAGGAGUACGCUCUGGGAACUUGCAGAGAGAACAAUUCGUCGGCUGAAAGAUUGUUUAAGGAAAAAGGGCGGAAGGUAGCUUUUGAACCGGAAUACUGAAGGAAAUCACCUGACAGCAGGUAAGAUUUGGUAGGUUUUCCCGGUUUGUCCCCGUUACAGGACCUUUGAGUGAUAAAAAAAGGUGGUACCGCGGCUUUGUCGCCCUUUGU
Molecule: non-coding RNA, 226 nt
Filed under: Blautia sp.
Lineage: Bacteria; Bacillati; Bacillota; Clostridia; Lachnospirales; Lachnospiraceae
Description: T-box sequence
Rfam family: T-box leader
About the family: Uncharged tRNA acts as the effector for transcription antitermination of genes in the T-box leader family. T-boxes are found upstream of many aminoacyl-tRNA synthetase genes and some amino acid biosynthetic genes usually in Gram-positive bacteria.
Source: RNAcentral